AUGUGGCUGGAGCUCAUCGGGUUCAGCCACGGGGAUACCGCCGUCUACACGACCAUGUUCGCCGUCGCGACGUCCCUGGGCGGCCUCCUCGGCGGCAAGAUGGGCGACGCCCUCGCCCGGCGGUACCCGAUCAGCGCCGGCUCGGCCGUGCCUCUCGCCGGCAUCCUGCUCCUCGGCCUCCCGGAUGACCCGUCCACCGGCCUCGCGCACGGGCUCGUCCUCUUCGUCAUGGGACUCAUCAUCUCCUGGAAUGCAGCCGCGACCAACAGCCCGAUCUUCGCGGAGAUCGUGCCGGUGAAAUCAAGAACGAGCAUCUACGCGCUCGACAGGUCGUUCGAGUCGAUCCUGGCCUCGUUCGCGCCGCCGGCCGUGGGCUUCCUGUCGCAGCACCUCUACGGGUUCAGACUGGCGGACGGCGGCGCAGGCAAAGCCACCGCCGAGAGGGACCGGGAGAACGCGGCGUCGCUGGCCAAGGCGCUGUACACGGCCAUCACGAUCCCCAUGACGGUGUGCGCGCUCAUAUACUCGCUGCUGUACCGCACCUACCCGCGGGACAGGGAGCGCGCGCGGAUGCAGUCGCUGAUCGGGUCGGAGCUGCAGCACAUGGAGCUGAUCGAGGAGGGUGGCGACGGCGACGAGCGGUUCGAACUCUUCGAAACGGAAGCGGAUGACAGUGACGUGGGAACCAAGAAGCUGCUGGCGAACCGGGAGUCCUGA
Molecule: ribosomal RNA, 717 nt
Filed under: Triticum aestivum (bread wheat)
Lineage: Eukaryota; Viridiplantae; Streptophyta; Magnoliopsida; Poales; Poaceae
Description: partial small subunit ribosomal RNA
Source: RNAcentral